Molecule: long non-coding RNA, 3204 nt
Filed under: Mus musculus (house mouse)
Lineage: Eukaryota; Metazoa; Chordata; Mammalia; Rodentia; Muridae
Description: predicted gene 15663 (Gm15663)
Source: RNAcentral
ACUCUUCUAGCUGCUCCAGCCUGGUACUCUGGCCCCACUCUCUUCUUCAUCUUCCUUCACCUUCUUUUUGACUCUGGAAAGCCUCCCCCAAAGCCCAGGACAAAGAUGACUUUUGGAAGAUUGCCCAAAACGAUAGCUAGAGUGUGCCCUGGGCUCUGGGAGAUGGAGGAGAGAGGCGACAGGAGGAGUCAAUGGUUUGCCCAGUGCUGCGGGGAGGCGCUUUGCACGCUCUAGAUCGCAAGCCAAACGUCUAGUGCCAAGAGCUGUCAGGCAAAAGACUGGUCAGCUGGAGAGACUUCUCGGGACGCGGAGAGGUAGAACAGGUUUGCAGAGCGCUGGCAACCUCGGUUGACACUAAGGAUCUAUUGCCCCGCGCGCGCGCGAUGCGUGAGCUGAAUUGGGAUGGAAGGGCCUGUUGAAGAGCCAGGGAAGCAGCGUUUAGGAGAGAGUUUUCCGAGGCCACGCCGUGACGGUCGACAUUAAUAUUAGUGGAAAGACGCGUGCCCCGCAGUAAGAUCAUGAAAAGGGAUCCAGGAAAUGAAAGAGGAGAGGCAAGAAGGUAAGAAACACCCACGCGUUCCUCAGAAAUUGCGUGGGGAUGGGUGUCUUUAGUGGUUCAGGACUGUCAAGCUGACUCUGAGACUAUAGAAGAGACCACGCUAAUGCAACCCUCUACAACGGCAUCCUUAAACCCAGCAGAGCGGAAAGCUAAUGCCCUUUCCUUUCCGCCCGGAUGCAAGACUGGAUGGAAGGCAUCCAACAUGAUGAAAUACGGUGCAGAAGAAUGGUCUGGGCAGAAGGAGCGCUGGGUACUAAAGUUGCAUGACCAAAGAGAUCCGAGAGCUGUCUGCCACACCCCCUUCCUGCCUGGUUCCCUUUCUGACUGCCCUGGUCGCUCCCUUGGACUAUGAUGAACACGACUGCAGCGCCCCCUGCUGUGGGGAAGCUACAGGGCACAGAAAACACGUCCUUGCAGGGCUGACUUCCAACUUCCCCUUUUGCACCUAACCAGCAAGCUCUUCAAAGAUAAUAAGGAAAGUGGACUCCCUGGGUAUGUGGCAGCGAUCUGAAAAGUUUGAACGCCUGCAGAAUAAGGAUGUCUGACUUCACAAAGAAAUCGUUUGGAAACUGACAAAUAUUUUACAACUUCAAAAGUAUUUAAAACUUAGCCUGCAAAAUAAAAACAUCUUCAUAAAAGUUAUGAAGACCCCGUUCUAAAGUAUACAAGCUAAAGAACUGAUUAUGUACCACAAAAGCUGUGAAGCUGAGAUCUUAAUUUUCUUGGCACUGGGUUGCAGCCCUUGGGUUGAAGAGAGCAAACGGCUGCUGAGGGCCAUGGCCAUGCACAAGGAACAACAAAUGGUCUUAAAACUCAUGGAAUGUUGUCCACUGGUUACCACAGCCACGCUGGAUUUUCCUCGGUAGGGAAUGACCCCGAGGAUCACGUGUCCUGAGGACUUCAUGCUGUAAUGGAGUUCUGCUCUGCUUGCUGCCCUCACAUCACUCUUAAUCUAAGAGAACUCUAAAGAGGCUUGCAGACUCUCACUGGGCAGUAUCUCUGGCACUCACAACAACAUUGCUUGAUUCCUUUCAGGCAUUGCUGCUGGAAGAGAUUCAACUGAUUCAACACCACCCUAGAAAAGAAUCUAGAGACAUAGAUUGUAAGUUAUGACAGCCGCCCUUGGAAAGCAUUUGGAAAAAUAAAAUUGUGAGUGAAGCUAGGUUAAGAUGCUUUUGCUACAGGCUCCCAGUGUAGAAAAUCUUAGGGAACAAUUUGAAGUUCAAAAAGGCACACUUUUAUUUGUUAAGCUAGGGACCUUUUAUGGUCAGGGAAUAAGAACAAUGGCAGCACUGGCUGAUGAUUCACAAUGAGGCUGGACUGAUGAUUUCUUUCUUUCUUCCUUUCUUUCUCUCUCUGUCUUUCUUUCUUUCUUCCUUUCUUUCUUCUUUCUUUCCUUCCUCCCUUCCUUCCUUCCUUCCUCCCUUCUUUCCUUCUUUCUUCUUCUUUCCUUCUUCCUUUCUUUCUUUCUUAAUUUCUUUCUUUCUUUCCAUUUAUUUAUUUAUUUAUUUAUUUAUUACUUAUUCACUUUAUAUCCUUCUCACUUCCCCCUUUCUGGUCACCCUCUCCCACAAUCCUUCCUCCAUCCUCCAUCUCCUUCUCUUCUAGGCAGAUGAGAGUCCCCUUGGCUAUCCCCCCACUCUGAUACUUCAAGUCUCUGCCAGGCUAGGUGCUUCCUUUCCCACCGAGGCCAGACAAAGUAACCCAGCUAGAAGACCAUAUCUCACAUAUAGGCAGCAGCUUUUGGGGUAGCUCCCAUUCCUAUUAUUCAGGAUCCGCAUGAAGACCAAGCUGUCCAUCUGCUAUAUGUGAGCUGGAAGAGCUAGUUCCAGCCAGUGUAUGUUCUUUGGUUGGAAGCUGAGGCUCUUAGAGCCUCAAGGGUCCAGAUUAGUUGACUUUGUUGGUCUUCUUGUGGAGUUCGAUCCCCAUCAGGACCCACAGUCCUUCCUCCUAUUCUUCCAUGAGUCCCCAAGCUCCAUCCACAGUUUGACUUUGUGUGUCUAUAUCUAUCUGAGUCAGCUGCUGGGUGGAGCCUCUCAGAGGACAGCCAUGCUAGACUCCUGUCUGCAAGUAUAACAGAGUAUCAUUAAUAGUGUUAGGGAUUGGUACUUGCCCAUGGAAUGAAUCUCAAGUUGGGUCAGUUAUUGGUAGGCUAUUCCAAAAAUACCUUAUUUUGCUUUCACCUUUUCUGAUAUGAUUUAAUAAGAAUUGCUGGUGAGGAGAUAUGCAUUCUGAGGAUUUAAAGUAGGUCUGGAUGAUUUUUCUAUAAAAACUGAGAUUUCUGUUUCUUUUAAGAUUCUUAUAAGAAAAUAUUUGAUCUUUUCUUUGUAACCGCAAAUCACUGCCUGCCAGUAAGAGAAACUGGCUGAGAAAACUGUCUUGCUUACUUACACUUUGUUAAUCUAUAGCAAGUUGCUUAGUUACAAAUGUAUGUAGGUUCUUAGGAAUAAUUUUUUUUAACCUGUGCUACCUAACGUUAUUUCUUGUAAAGGUGUUGGGGAACACACUGUUUCUUCAUAGUCAUUUCCUGGAAGAAAACUAGAUCAUAAUCACACUGUAAUUUUAUACUGCUUGAAAGGUUUUGCUGGGAUAUAUAUGCCAUACAAUAAGGAAUAAAGUUGUUGGAACAUUGUUCCUUCCAUCCA